This 773-nucleotide ribosomal RNA is filed under the name uncultured Neocallimastigales. Its description in RNAcentral is "partial large subunit ribosomal RNA". It matches the Rfam family "Eukaryotic large subunit ribosomal RNA", at positions 23 to 647 of the family's 3401-position model. Lineage: Eukaryota; Fungi; Neocallimastigomycota; Neocallimastigomycetes; Neocallimastigales. The record is from RNAcentral.
GAGAGAGACAUGCGCGCAUAUCAAUAAGCGGAGGAAAAGAAACUAACAAGGAUUCCCCUAGUAACGGCGAGUGAAGCGGGAAGAGCUCAAAUUUGAAAUCUUAAAGGGUUUCCCUUUACGAAUUGUAGUUUAAAGAAGUGUUUUCUGUUGAGGUUUUGGUAAAAGUUCUUUGGAAUAGGACAUCAUAGAGGGUGAGAAUCCCGUAUUUGACCUUUACUUUCAACUUUGUGAUACACUUUCAAAGAGUCGGAUUGUUUGGGAAUGCAGUCCAAAAUGGGUGGUAAAUUUCAUCUAAAGCUAAAUAUUGGCGAGAGACCGAUAGCGAGCAAGUACCGUGAGGGAAAGAUGAAAAGAACUUUGAAAAGAGAGUUAAACAGUACGUGAAAUUGUCAAAAGGGAAGCGUUUGACACCAGUGUUGUUUUUCUGAAAAUCAAUUAAAGAACUGUUUAUGCUAAGUUGUUUAGACUUUAUCAGCUAUCUGUUUAGUUUUGAGCUUUUCUUUAAUGCACUUUUCAGUUAACAAGUCAACAUCAAUUUCUUUUGCUGUAAAAAAGCUUGAGGAAGGUGGCUUGAGAUUCGUCUUAAGUGUUUAUAGCCUCUUGCCUAUGCAGUCGGAGAGAUUGAGGUCUGCAGCGUAGAUCCUUCGGGGCUAAAUGCAUUUGUGCUAAGUUAUAGCAUUUUAUAGACAACUUGUUGACUAUGAUUUGUCUUGUAGCUUACUCGCUUAUGUUAUUUUACCUACGCUUAGGAUGUUGACGCAUGAGAUAUACGC